GAUGAACGCUGGCGGCGUGCCUAAUACAUGCAAGUCGAGCGAACAGAUAAGGAGCUUGCUCCUUUGACGUUAGCGGCGGACGGGUGAGUAACACGUGGAUAACCUACCUAUAAGACUGGGAUAACUUCGGGAAACCGGAGCUAAUACCGGAUAACAUAUUGAACCGCAUGGUUCAAUAGUGAAAGGCGGCUUUGCUGUCACUUAUAGAUGGAUCCGCGCCGUAUUAGCUAGUUGGUAAGGUAACGGCUUACCAAGGCAACGAUACGUAGCCGACCUGAGAGGGUGAUCGGCCACACUGGAACUGAGACACGGUCCAGACUCCUACGGGAGGCAGCAGUAGGGAAUCUUCCGCAAUGGGCGAAAGCCUGACGGAGUAACGCCGCGUGAGUGAUGAAGGUCUUCGGAUCGUAAAACUCUGUUAUCAGGGAAGAACAAAUGUGUAAGUAACUGUGCACAUCUUGACGGUACCUGAUCAGGAAGCCACGGCUAACUACGUG
RNAcentral lists this ribosomal RNA (497 nucleotides) under uncultured bacterium. RNAcentral describes it as "partial 16S ribosomal RNA". It matches the Rfam family "Bacterial small subunit ribosomal RNA", at positions 28 to 507 of the family's 1533-position model. The record is from RNAcentral.